RNAcentral lists this transfer RNA (72 nucleotides) under Dolosigranulum pigrum. RNAcentral's name for it is "tRNA-Met". It matches the Rfam family "tRNA". Rfam says of the family: Transfer RNA (tRNA) molecules are approximately 80 nucleotides in length. Their secondary structure includes four short double-helical elements and three loops (D, anti-codon, and T loops). The record is from RNAcentral. Lineage: Bacteria; Bacillati; Bacillota; Bacilli; Lactobacillales; Carnobacteriaceae.
CGCGGGGUAGAGCAGUUGGUAGCUCGUCGGGCUCAUAACCCGGAGGUCGUUGGUUCGAAUCCUUCCCCGCAA